Long non-coding RNA from Pangasianodon hypophthalmus (striped catfish), 621 nucleotides. RefSeq lists it as uncharacterized. The transcript is spliced from 3 exons. Lineage: Eukaryota; Metazoa; Chordata; Actinopteri; Siluriformes; Pangasiidae. The record is from RefSeq and is a predicted model, not a curated record.
AAAAUGCUCCAGCUGUAACCUAUUUCCAUCACUCUCUGCCCAUAUAACAGCCAUUACCCCUCCCUAGGUCUGGCAGAAGACGAGCUAAGCACUUUUCAGAGGAGAGAGGACAAUUUGUGCUCGCUGGAGUGGCUCACCUGUCAACGGCUAGUCCUUGAAGUCCUUCGCUGGUGUGCUGGCAUCUGUUUCCAGGGGCUGCUGAGUGCCAUCAAUUCCCUACUCGCUCAGGGUAGGCUUGUGUGAAGAGACCUGGAACUGACUGUUUUAGGAAGCCUCUCUCUAGCAGGAUGAAUAAUGAGUGGGGCUGGCUGCUACAGCACAGGGAAAGUGGUCCAUAAGGAGCUGCGCUAAUUCAGAAAGUCCCUUAUCAAAACAAGCUGAUGUGCGCCGAGACGUGUCGAGGCUGUGCUCUGCUGAGACGGAGGCUCUGCCCUCCCCCCGGUGCAGCCCAGCAGCCCUGCGGCCCUGCUAAUUAACCGAGCUACACAUUCAUUCGGUGUCAAACAACAAACGCAUACCAGAGCAGGACCGCUCUGAAUCCUUUCCAGAUAAACACAUGCACUAGUACACUCCAUGGUAACACUUCAAACUACUUUCAACUACCUGUUCAACAACUCACAG